AACGAACGCUGGCGGCGCGUCUUAAGCAUGCAAGUCGAACGGCAAGAGAGGAGCUUGCUUCUCGCCUAGAGUGGCGGACUGGUGAGGAACACGUGGGUAAUCUACCCUUAAGAUGGGGAUAGCUGCUAGAAAUAGCAGGUAAUACCGAAUACACUCGGCAUAUCACAAGAGGUGUUGAGGAAAGGAAGCUACGGCUUCGCUUGAGGAUGAGCUUGCGUCCCAUUAGCUAGUUGGUGAGGUAAAGGCCCACCAAGGCGACGAUGGGUAUCCGGACUGAGAGGGUGACCGGCCACACUGGGACUGAGACACGGCCCAAACUCCUACGGGAGGCAGCAGCGAAGAAUAUUCCGCAAUGGACGGAAGUCUGACGGAGCGACGCCGCGUGGACGAUGAAGGCUGACGGGUUGUAAAAUACUUUUGUUGGUGAAGAAUAAUGGUGAGAUGAAAUGCUCAGCUGAUGACGGUAAUCGACGAAUAAGCCCCGGCUAACUACGUG
RNAcentral lists this ribosomal RNA (496 nucleotides) under uncultured bacterium. RNAcentral's name for it is "partial 16S ribosomal RNA". It matches the Rfam family "Bacterial small subunit ribosomal RNA", at positions 29 to 507 of the family's 1533-position model. The record is from RNAcentral.